Molecule: ribosomal RNA, 2904 nt
Filed under: Salmonella enterica subsp. enterica serovar Bovismorbificans
Lineage: Bacteria; Pseudomonadati; Pseudomonadota; Gammaproteobacteria; Enterobacterales; Enterobacteriaceae
Description: bacterial LSU rRNA
Rfam family: Bacterial large subunit ribosomal RNA
Source: RNAcentral
UUAAGCGACUAAGCGUACACGGUGGAUGCCCUGGCAGUCAGAGGCGAUGAAGGGCGUGCUAAUCUGCGAUAAGCGCCGGUAAGGUGAUAUGAACCGUUAUAACCGGCGAUACCCGAAUGGGGAAACCCAGUGUGACUCGUCACACUAUCAUUAACUGAAUCCAUAGGUUAAUGAGGCGAACCGGGGGAACUGAAACAUCUAAGUACCCCGAGGAAAAGAAAUCAACCGAGAUUCCCCCAGUAGCGGCGAGCGAACGGGGAGGAGCCCAGAGCCUGAAUCAGCAUGUGUGUUAGUGGAAGCGUCUGGAAAGGCGCGCGAUACAGGGUGACAGCCCCGUACACAAAAGCGCAUGUGCUGUGAGCUCGAUGAGUAGGGCGGGACACGUGGUAUCCUGUCUGAAUAUGGGGGGACCAUCCUCCAAGGCUAAAUACUCCUGACUGACCGAUAGUGAACCAGUACCGUGAGGGAAAGGCGAAAAGAACCCCGGCGAGGGGAGUGAAAAAGAACCUGAAACCGUGUACGUACAAGCAGUGGGAGCACCCUUUGGGGUGUGACUGCGUACCUUUUGUAUAAUGGGUCAGCGACUUAUAUUCUGUAGCAAGGUUAACCGAAUAGGGGAGCCGGAGGGAAACCGAGUCUUAAUUGGGCGUUAAGUUGCAGGGUAUAGACCCGAAACCCGGUGAUCUAGCCAUGGGCAGGUUGAAGGUUGGGUAACACUAACUGGAGGACCGAACCGACUAAUGUUGAAAAAUUAGCGGAUGACCUGUGGCUGGGGGUGAAAGGCCAAUCAAACCGGGAGAUAGCUGGUUCUCCCCGAAAGCUAUUUAGGUAGCGCCUCGUGAAUUCAUCUCCGGGGGUAGAGCACUGUUUCGGCUAGGGGGCCAUCCCGGCUUACCAACCCGAUGCAAACUGCGAAUACCGGAGAAUGUUAUCACGGGAGACACACGGCGGGUGCUAACGUCCGUCGUGAAGAGGGAAACAACCCAGACCGCCAGCUAAGGUCCCAAAGUCAUGGUUAAGUGGGAAACGAUGUGGGAAGGCCCAGACAGCCAGGAUGUUGGCUUAGAAGCAGCCAUCAUUUAAAGAAAGCGUAAUAGCUCACUGGUCGAGUCGGCCUGCGCGGAAGAUGUAACGGGGCUAAACCAUGCACCGAAGCUGCGGCAGCGACGUUUAUGCGUUGUUGGGUAGGGGAGCGUUCUGUAAGCCUGCGAAGGUGGCCUGUGAGGGUUGCUGGAGGUAUCAGAAGUGCGAAUGCUGACAUAAGUAACGAUAAAGCGGGUGAAAAGCCCGCUCGCCGGAAGACCAAGGGUUCCUGUCCAACGUUAAUCGGGGCAGGGUGAGUCGACCCCUAAGGCGAGGCCGAAAGGCGUAGUCGAUGGGAAACGGGUUAAUAUUCCCGUACUUGGUGUUACUGCGAAGGGGGGACGGAGAAGGCUAUGUUGGCCGGGCGACGGUUGUCCCGGUUUAAGCGUGUAGGUGUGUGUUCCAGGUAAAUCCGGUUCACUUUAACACUGAGGCGUGAUGACGAGGCACUACGGUGCUGAAGCAACAAAUGCCCUGCUUCCAGGAAAAGCCUCUAAGCAUCAGGUAACACGAAAUCGUACCCCAAACCGACACAGGUGGUCAGGUAGAGAAUACCAAGGCGCUUGAGAGAACUCGGGUGAAGGAACUAGGCAAAAUGGUGCCGUAACUUCGGGAGAAGGCACGCUGACACGUAGGUGAAGUGAUUUACUCAUGGAGCUGAAGUCAGUCGAAGAUACCAGCUGGCUGCAACUGUUUAUUAAAAACACAGCACUGUGCAAACACGAAAGUGGACGUAUACGGUGUGACGCCUGCCCGGUGCCGGAAGGUUAAUUGAUGGGGUCAGCGCAAGCGAAGCUCCUGAUCGAAGCCCCGGUAAACGGCGGCCGUAACUAUAACGGUCCUAAGGUAGCGAAAUUCCUUGUCGGGUAAGUUCCGACCUGCACGAAUGGCGUAAUGAUGGCCAGGCUGUCUCCACCCGAGACUCAGUGAAAUUGAACUCGCUGUGAAGAUGCAGUGUACCCGCGGCAAGACGGAAAGACCCCGUGAACCUUUACUAUAGCUUGACACUGAACAUUGAGCCUUGAUGUGUAGGAUAGGUGGGAGGCUUUGAAGUGUGGACGCCAGUCUGCAUGGAGCCAGCCUUGAAAUACCACCCUUUAAUGUUUGAUGUUCUAACGUGGACCCGUAAUCCGGGUUGCGGACAGUGUCUGGUGGGUAGUUUGACUGGGGCGGUCUCCUCCUAAAGAGUAACGGAGGAGCACGAAGGUUGGCUAAUCCUGGUCGGACAUCAGGAGGUUAGUGCAAUGGCAUAAGCCAGCUUGACUGCGAGCGUGACGGCGCGAGCAGGUGCGAAAGCAGGUCAUAGUGAUCCGGUGGUUCUGAAUGGAAGGGCCAUCGCUCAACGGAUAAAAGGUACUCCGGGGAUAACAGGCUGAUACCGCCCAAGAGUUCAUAUCGACGGCGGUGUUUGGCACCUCGAUGUCGGCUCAUCACAUCCUGGGGCUGAAGUAGGUCCCAAGGGUAUGGCUGUUCGCCAUUUAAAGUGGUACGCGAGCUGGGUUUAGAACGUCGUGAGACAGUUCGGUCCCUAUCUGCCGUGGGCGCUGGAGAACUGAGGGGGGCUGCUCCUAGUACGAGAGGACCGGAGUGGACGCAUCACUGGUGUUCGGGUUGUCAUGCCAAUGGCACUGCCCGGUAGCUAAAUGCGGAAGAGAUAAGUGCUGAAAGCAUCUAAGCACGAAACUUGCCCCGAGAUGAGUUCUCCCUGAGACUUAGAGUCUCCUGAAGGAACGUUGAAGACGACGACGUUGAUAGGCCGGGUGUGUAAGCGCAGCGAUGCGUUGAGCUAACCGGUACUAAUGAACCGUGAGGCUUAACCUU